Molecule: long non-coding RNA, 2662 nt
Organism: Anopheles funestus (African malaria mosquito)
Lineage: Eukaryota; Metazoa; Arthropoda; Insecta; Diptera; Culicidae
Exons: 2
Source: RefSeq, a predicted model, not a curated record
GACCGCCGCCGCUUACUCAUAUCGUUGACGCCCGCAAACAGUGUACCGUGUCUCAUAUGGCGCUGAUGAUUUAUUUUCUUAUCAACGCAUCGGAUAGUGUUUGGGUUCGCAACAGCAUGCGAUGGAACACACAAACACAAACCGCGAACUAAUAACCGUAGGGAAUUGCUUCCAAAACAUUACACACCUAGCAAAUGGUUUCACGUGCUUUCAUGAUUAAAACACUCUGAUAUACCUAUUUGCCAAGCAAAAAAGAGCUUCAGUUGACUGUUGUUACCUCGCACAAGCUCGCAUUUCGUUCUUUGUUACAAGAUUGCCACAUCCGAGUGUGGGGUUUGUUCUGAGCAAGAGAGACUUGCGACUAUUACGACUUGUGGAAUACCCUGCAACAGGACACACAAUGGCACAAUUGCAUGAGCAAAAUGUUAAAAGGGAAAAUAUUCUCGUGCGAUGCAGAAAUAGGUCGUCACUAUGAAUUGCAUUCUUCAGUCUGGGGACGUUUGCAACAUUCCUGUGCCUCAGCUUACACUACACCACUGUACCAAAGGGAAGAGAGGAGGAUCGAGCUUUCGAAAAACGAUAAAUCACGCUGCAUAAGAGACAACAAUCUGUGCAUUCUUCAGCAUGAAAAUCGUACUACAACUACAUUCGCAAUUUGGAUGACGAUCCAACAGCACUCUCCGCCCCACUAAACGUCGGAUGACGAAUGUAUGCUUUUAACCCUGUGAUGAUAGUGGCAUUUAAGUUGGGAGAACUAUCCGUUAGAUGGUUGACAUGUCAGCGGUCGUUGGGAAUAUGGCCGCUCUGCACGGGUUGAUGAAUUACGCGGUAGUCAGCGAAGCAGAACCGGAAUUAGGGAGUGACUUUCGAUUGAACGGAUUGUGCAGGGGGAAGCUUUCAUUCGUUUACGAAAUCUCUGCUUACAGUAUUGCUCCGAACUAAUUCUCCAAAUGCCGCCAAGUAUCGUAACAGUUGGACAAGAAUGGAGGCUUGCUUGUUGGUUCUGGAUUCUUAAUCUAAUUUGCAUGGCGAAUACGAUUGACAUUUUCGUGGUUCAUUAUGUAGCAGCCUAUCGCUAGCUGGCCUUUUCUUCCAACCUCCUAAACACGCUCGUUGAUAGCGAGUAUGAGUCAGAAUAAAGUUUUAACGUUUUGUAAAAUUCUUGUCUCAAAUCCAGGAUCACCCAAGAAUUCGACGAUGCUGUAAACCUGUUAUGAUGGCGGUUUCUUUUUGCGUUUUAACUUUGCCGCCCAUAUUCUUAUCAACGUUGUUUCAUGUCUUUACAUUCUACCGGUACAAAAUUAGUUCCAGCUCCAGACGCAGUCCAGGUACAUUGCAAAAAGGGAGGUUUGCGAUUCGCGAUGAAAAGUUUAAAUCCGCAUUAAACAACACUGCCAAGCUGAAACCACUUUCUCUCUCACUCCUUUACCGCUGGUCGCGGUACGGAUGAUGGUGCAGUCGCUGUAAAUGGCAUUCAUUCAAAUUGCACACAAACCCCUUCGCGUUCGUCCCGAUCAUCUCGCUGCUUCCGCUUGCGCACUAAGGGCAGUAAACGAACGCGAUCGUUAGGGUGACGUUUAAACAAUUUAACGUUGCGCACCGGCUGGUUUAAAUGCGCGGAAGCAACGCAAACAUAAUACAAUACCACGUCGCGACUCCCUCGCGCGUGUUUGUGUCGAUGGUUUUGCCUCGAUCAACAGCUUCCCCUUUGGAACAGAACGCAGCGACUGUAAGCAGCAGUAGCUCGGAGCCCUAAUAAAGCUCAACCACACUUGUCCCCGUGAAACAUCCGCCGUACCGGUGACAUAUUGAAAAGCCGUAGCGAUACAAUCACAACAUAGCACCAAUACUUGUGCUAGCAGUGUAUAUUGCCACCACAGUCACCAUCUUCACCACUAACCACCCGACCCUUCGGUCAAAGACAGCAUCAUGUAUCACAUGUUUCCAGCUCUUCCGUUCAGUAUCCAACGCGUGUGUCCGCCUUCCUUAGCGGCUGUUUGCCAGUGUUGGUCACGGCGCAAGGUUUGUCGCGACAAAACCUAUCGAACACGCUGUGGUUGUCCUCCAUAUAGCAGAGCACAGGCCCUUUUCGCAAAAUACAUACUACAAACAAACACUAACUGCUGGUAGUGCGCCGGUGACGACGCCACUAUGGUCGGUUCGUGCCUGCUUGCAUCAAUCUUAAUCUAUUUUGAAUGAAGUGAACGAAGGUUGAUGAGGAAGAAGGGAAAAAGGGAGAAUGAGGCCGGGAAGGGAGGGAGGGAGGGGGGUGGGAGGCAUACGGAACUGGGAAUGCAUACAAUAUCAGAUGGCGUGAAUUUACCACCCCACUGGGUUCGCUUGCAUCGACGCUAGAAUAUGCAUGCCUGGAUCGUGAGUCAUUUUCCGUAGCUCGAACUGACGUCGUAGUUCGACCAGGGUCGAUUCGUUUUGCUCCACCGGCGGACGAAUUUGCGUUAUCAAGUUCAUCUAUUCCCAUCUGACCCGUAGGGGGGCAAAUCUAUAUUCAUGAUCAUUAAGCUUUGGUUGGGGAAUGCACCGGAUUGCUGACUAGUACAGGUAUUUCUGAUGAGUCCACCAUAGUGAUCGAUUCUGAACUGAUCGUACAAAAUAAUCGUUAUGAACGAUGAGCAGUAUAUUCUACGUUAAAACUGUGCGUUAA